CCCUUAGAUGUUCUGGGCCGCACGCGCGCUACACUGAUGAAUGCAACGAGCUCUACCCUUGACCGAAAGGCCCGGGUAAACUUGUGAAACUUCAUCGUGAUGGGGAUAGAUUAUUGCAAUUAUUAAUCUUCAACGAGGAAUUCCUAGUAAGCGCGAGUCAUCAGCUCGCGUUGAUUACGUCCCUGCCCUUUGUACACACCGCCCGUCGCUCCUACCGAUUGAAUGGUCCGGUGAAAUCUUCGGAUUGCUGACCAAGAUCCAGCAAUGGAGCUUGGUUGCGAGAAGUUGAUUAAACCUCAUUAUUUAGAGGAAGGAGAAGUCGUAACA
RNAcentral lists this ribosomal RNA (327 nucleotides) under uncultured eukaryote. RNAcentral describes it as "partial 18S ribosomal RNA". It matches the Rfam family "Eukaryotic small subunit ribosomal RNA", at positions 1470 to 1796 of the family's 1831-position model. The record is from RNAcentral.